This 1398-nucleotide small RNA is filed under the name Histoplasma capsulatum. RNAcentral describes it as "hypothetical RNA". Lineage: Eukaryota; Fungi; Ascomycota; Eurotiomycetes; Onygenales; Ajellomycetaceae. RNAcentral also lists the same sequence under 1 other name. The record is from RNAcentral.
CCAUUUAAGACUCAUUUGAAGUAUGUUUGCAUUGUGGAUUUAAGAGGCGUGUUUGCUCACCUCCCAAAAGAGGUGUACUAUUAUAUAUUUAUUCUUUAAAUUUCUAGCAACUACUGUACGUAUAUACAGCCCUCUCUUUGGUUACAUAGACAUCAGGGACCUAUACAUAAUUGUGUUACAGUGUUUCCCUGCCCAUUUGCCUUCUUGUUAUUUAUCUCUUGAAGAAGCCGAAGGACAUCAGCUACCAAAUACAGGCUACCGGCAACUACCAAAGGCCCACUUUCACCACUUUCACCACCACCUUGCUUUGAGACUUCAUCGGCCCACUCCAGCGCGGACACAAUAUCACCCCCAAAGUCCUUCGAUUGCGCUAAUUCACGCGUGCUGUCACUGUCGCUGCCGCUGCUCCUACAACUGCUUACUGCAGAUAGCAGCUCUGCGCUUUCCACACUCCUCACCCACGGCAUCCCAUCAACAGGCCCAAACUGGACAACGGCAACAUUGUCACCAGGCCUGAGCAUGCAGCUGAAUAAUUCUUGAGUGUUCUUGCCCUGCGACGCAGCAAUUACCCAAGUAACACUAACAUUGUUUAUCUUCUCAUGACUGGAUGGAUGUUUUCGAAGGUUGCGGUCUACAUACGAGCAGAGGACACGUGCCGAUUGAGGGUUAUGUGCACCAUCAAGGAGGAUCGGUUGGCUGCGGGAAAUAAGAGGGUUGAGGGAGAGUUCCUGCAAACGGCCUAGUCGUGGCGUUUUAGGGAUGUGUUGGAAUAGGCUUGGCAAUGGUAGAGAUGACGGCAAAAUGCCCUUCUGCUGUAGGGCGGCGACUGCACAGGCAAUAUUCGCCUUCUGGUGUGGUUCAAUGUUUAGGCAUUUGAAUAUCUUCGCCAGCUCAGGGAAUUCUUCCAUGAUGGAUUCUGGGUUGGUGAUGAUGAGCGGUGUUUGCGUUUCCCAUCCAAUUCCCUCAAGGGUAGUUAGAACAGCCGGCUCAUUUGUCCCAUCAAUGACACAGGGAGUCCCGGGUUUCAUAAUACCCGCCUUCUCCCGCGCGAUCUCCUGAAGGGUAUUGCCCAGGAUCGCUUGGUGGUCAUGGCCAAUCUGAGCAAUGAUAGACACAAGAACAUUACUUUUAUUCAAGAUAUUUGUCGCAUCCAGGCGGCCGCCCAUACCCACCUCAACGAUCCCAACAUCGACAUUUUCAUGUGUGAAGAUUUCAAAUGCAGUGGUGGUGAGCAGCUCAAACUCAGUUGCACCAAUUCCUAGUGAUUGAUUGCGGAGUUUGACAUUGUGUUCUAUCUGGCGGAAGAGAGGUUCGUGGACCACACAGUUGUCGAUUGUUAUACAAUCCCACCGGUCGAUGAGGUGCGGGGAGGUGAAGGAGCCGCACCGCACACCAGCU